Long non-coding RNA from Centruroides sculpturatus (bark scorpion), 632 nucleotides. RefSeq lists it as uncharacterized. NCBI's taxonomy places the organism in Eukaryota, Metazoa, Arthropoda, Arachnida, Scorpiones, Buthidae. The record is from RefSeq and is a predicted model, not a curated record. The transcript is spliced from 3 exons.
AUAUUUGGAUUUCAUGAAUACAAAUUAUUACUUUACUUAGUAAACAGAUCAUUCGAGUAUAAAAGUGUUGAUUGUUGCAAUUAUAGGAACAAUACGAAUGUCUUUUUGGUUUUACUGAUCUGCGUUAACUAUAUAAAUACAAGAAAUUAGCAAGUGAUUACAUUGUUUCGAUACUUUCGUUGUGUUGGAAGCAUUAGUAGUGAAAUGGAGAAUGUGAAGAUCUUGCUGAUAAUCUGCAUGAUUUACUUCAUCGGAUUUUCCUCUGUCGACGGAUACGAGAUUUGUACUGUAGAACAAGUAGGGGACGAAUGUAGCCUGGAGUGCGUGGUAGCCAAAUUAGGCUUGUGCAGUGCGGAACCGCCUUGUGAAUGUCCCAAUCUUCUGGAUCGACGAGGAAUAGUGAAAGAAAAGAAAAGAGGACCUAAAGUUUGGGGACGACAUAGUAAACAUUGGGGACGACAUAAAGUUCGGAAAAAUAUUAUACGAAAAUAAAGUUUCUGAAAGAUUUUCCUAUGUCGAAUUGAUAGUGUAAAACUGAAGAAGUUUUAUUUUAUAAUGCUUAAAAUUUUUUUUGUCUUCUUUAAUAAGAAUUUUUAAAUAUUUUAUAAAAUGACAAAACUCUUUUAAUUUGA